GCUCGAAAAUGUUAAAGUUCUUAUUUCAUGGUAUAAUUUUGGUAUGCUUGGACCUAGAGUCUUCAAACUUGACAUGAAGGUUGGCCAGGAUUAACAGAUGACCACUGGUCAUUUCAAGGUCAUUCAUUUGAAGGUGAAGGUCACUGUGACCUUCAAUAUAAAAAUGUUAAAGUUGUUAUAACUUUGGUAUGCUUGGACCUAGAGUCUUGAAACUUGACAUGAAGGUUGGCCAGAACUAGUAAGUAACCACUGGACAUUUCAAGGUCAUUCAUUUGAAGGUCAAGGUCACUGUGACCUUGAAUGUAAAAAUGUUAAAGUUGUUAUAACUUUGGUAUGCUUGGACCUAGAGUCUUGAAACUUGACAUGAAGGUUGGCCAGAACUAGUAAGUAACCACUGGACAUUUCAAGGUCAUUCAUUUGAAGGUCAAGGUCACUGUGACCUUGAAUGUAAAAAUGUUAAAGUUCUUAUUUCAUGUUAUAACUUUGGUAUGCUUGUACCUAGAGUCUUCAAACUUGAAAUAAAGAUUGGCCAGUACUAGAAGAUGACCACUGGUCAUUUCAAUGUCAUUCAUUUGAAGGUCAAGGUCACUGUGACCUUAAAUGUUAAAAUGUUAAAAUUGUUAUAACUUUGGUAUGCUUGGACAUAGAGUCUUCAAACUUGACAUGAAGGUUUGCAAGCACACUUAGAUGACCACUGGUCAUUUCAAGGUCAUUCAUUCUAAGGUCAAGGUCACUGUGACCUUGAAUGUAAAAAUGUUAAAGUUCUUAUAACUUUGGUAGGUAAAAAUGUUAAAGUUCUUAUUCCAUGUUAUAACUUUGGUAUGCUUGUACCUAGAGUCUUCAAACUUGACAUAAAGGUUGGCCAGUACUAGAAGAUCACCACUGCUCAUUUCAAUGUCAUUCAUUUGAUUUCUGUGUAGGUAUGUGAAAGCAAAACAAUAAAUAGUAUUAUUUCAUCUAAGUUUAUUUUCUUACAUUUGAUAAUGAAAUUGAUGGAAACUUCAAACAAUAUCUUACUAAUUUGCUAAUAAAAAAAUUGAGAUCAAACUUU
Dreissena polymorpha is the source of this 1051-nucleotide long non-coding RNA. RefSeq lists it as uncharacterized. NCBI's taxonomy places the organism in Eukaryota, Metazoa, Mollusca, Bivalvia, Myida, Dreissenidae. The transcript is spliced from 2 exons. The record is from RefSeq and is a predicted model, not a curated record.